AGAGUUAUUAACCAAGUCUUUACGUGUCUGCUUGUGUUUUUCAGAUGACUCAGUGUUUUGCUAAGCAGAGUUCUGUGUCGCUCCUCCACUUCCUGCUGAAGAGCAAAUAAAGAGGAAUUUUCUCACAGACUGCAUUCAAACACAAACAGUUUGUGAGCCAGAAGAGUUUAAUACCUGAGGAAUUCUAAUCUGCAUACUUGCACUUUGAAUCAGUUAACUGGAUCUGCCUGGGAUAGCAGCAUCCUUGUGUUCUGAGGAAGGCACAUCCCAUUCUGUUGUGUGCCUCUUGGACAUCUCCCUAAUUUGAAACAGAAACACCCCCACCCCAUGAAGCUUUUGAAAAUAAUUGAGGCAAAGAAGCUACUACUAAGAGGACACCAUGCUUUAAUGAUUCUAGCUGAAGGAAAAAGUGUAAGAAUUGUGGAAUUGAUGAUAGAAACUGUGUCAGAGAAGGAUGAAGAGCAAACCAGAACUGCUGGUGUUGAAAAUGACUUGCAAUUUAAGUAAGAAGAAAUAUCAAAUAUCUCCCUGAAGCUGAAGAAUUUGGGAAAAUUACAUGUGAGGAGUUAAAAAACUUGGAAAUUACUUAAAAGGUGCAUGAAACACUUGAAAGCAACAAGCCAGCAUCCAAACAAAAGAGGGUUGUCAUCUGGUACUGCUGCUGCCCACUCUUCAAAACAGAAAUCAUUCCUGACUUCAGUGGGUCUGUUUUCCUAGCAGACAAAACAAUUGGUUUUGGAUGCUAAAUUGUUAACCCAAGUCAGCUCUGCUGACCUACAGCUAAUCUUUUCAGUCAGGAGAUUGAAACUUAAACCCAAACUUAGCUCCUUCUGACUAAUCCAAGUGAAUUUAGCACAAAGAUGAUUCCACCUCAUCCACGUGAAUUUGUUUCUGUGCAAAUGUUAUGUUGGGUAUUAUGAGCAGAAAGUGACACAUGUGUUUGUGCCUUCUAAAUAAAAGCCUUUUGU
Molecule: long non-coding RNA, 968 nt
Organism: Parus major (Great Tit)
Lineage: Eukaryota; Metazoa; Chordata; Aves; Passeriformes; Paridae
Source: Ensembl